This 21-nucleotide non-coding RNA is filed under the name Caenorhabditis elegans. Lineage: Eukaryota; Metazoa; Nematoda; Chromadorea; Rhabditida; Rhabditidae. The record is from RNAcentral.
UAUUAUUGUAGCCUCUAUCAU